This 827-nucleotide ribosomal RNA is filed under the name marine metagenome. RNAcentral's name for it is "bacterial SSU rRNA". It matches the Rfam family "Bacterial small subunit ribosomal RNA", at positions 680 to 1520 of the family's 1533-position model. The record is from RNAcentral.
AGUGAAAUUCGUAGAUAUAGAAAGAAUACCAAUUGCGAAGGCAGCUUCUGGAUCAUUACUGACACUGAGGAACGAAAGCAUGGGUAGCGAAGAGGAUUAGAUACCCUCGUAGUCCAUGCCGUAAACGAUGUGUGUUAGACGUUGGAAAUUUAUUUUCAGUGUCGCAGCGAAAGCGAUAAACACACCGCCUGGGGAGUACGACCGCAAGGUUAAAACUCAAAUGAAUUGACGGGGACCCGCACAAGUAGUGGAGCAUGUGGUUUAAUUCGAAGAUACGCGCAGAACCUUACCAACACUUGACAUGUUCGUCGCGACUCUAAGAGAUUAGAGUUUUCGGUUCGGCCGGACGAAACACAGGUGCUGCAUGGCUGUCGUCAGCUCGUGUCGUGAGAUGUUGGGUUAAGUCCCGCAACGAGCGCAACCCUCACUUUUAGUUGCCAUCAUUAAGUUGGGCACUCUGAAAGAACUGCCAGUGAUAAGCUGGAGGAAGGUGGGGAUGACGUCAAGUCCUCAUGGCCCUUACGUGUUGGGCUACACACGUGCUACAAUGGUAUCUACAACAGGAAGCAAGACUGCGAAGUUAAGCAAAUCCCUAAAAGAUACCUCAGUUCGGAUUGCACUCUGCAACUCGAGUGCAUGAAGCUGGAAUUACUAGUAAUCGUGGAUCAGCGUGCCACGGUGAAUGCGUUCCCGGGUCUUGUACACACCGCCCGUCACACCAUGGGAGUUGGUUCUACCUUAAGGCAAGGUUUCAAACCCUUGACCACGGUAUAGUCAGCGACUGGGGUGAAGUCGUAACAAGGUAGCCGUAGGGGAACCUGCGGCUG